Molecule: unclassified non-coding RNA, 200 nt
Filed under: fungal sp.
Lineage: Eukaryota; Fungi
Description: partial internal transcribed spacer region
Rfam family: Eukaryotic small subunit ribosomal RNA (bases 1-46)
Source: RNAcentral
AAGUCGUAACAAGGUUUCCGUAGGUGAACCUGCGGAAGGAUCAUUACAAAUCUUUUUAAAGUCCUAAAAAUAUUUUUUUUUUUUUGGGACUUUAUAUGUCCGAGGCAGCAAUGCUUCGUUACAUUUACGCUUGUAUGUUUGACAGAGUUAGUGUGAUUUUUUAAUAUAUACAACUUUUAACAAUGGAUCUCUUGGCUCUU